Halomonas sp. BC04 is the source of this 97-nucleotide non-coding RNA. It matches the Rfam family "Bacterial small signal recognition particle RNA". From Rfam's summary of the family: The signal recognition particle (SRP) is a universally conserved ribonucleoprotein involved in the co-translational targeting of proteins to membranes. Archaeal SRP consists of a 7S RNA and homologues of the eukaryotic SRP19 and SRP54 proteins. The record is from Rfam. NCBI's taxonomy places the organism in Bacteria, Pseudomonadati, Pseudomonadota, Gammaproteobacteria, Oceanospirillales, Halomonadaceae.
CGUUGGUCCUCCCGCAACGCUAAACCGCAAACCCCGCCAGGCCCGGAAGGGAGCAACGGUAGCGGUGGUCGCGUGUGCCGGGAUGUGGCUCUCGGGG